This 204-nucleotide long non-coding RNA is filed under the name Prunus persica (peach). Its description in RNAcentral is "long non-coding RNA (PPER_LNC001030)". The record is from RNAcentral. Lineage: Eukaryota; Viridiplantae; Streptophyta; Magnoliopsida; Rosales; Rosaceae.
UGAAAUGGAGUUGCAUAAUUCUUGAUGUUGGAUUUCACUCAAAACCAACCAAAUGACUCCUCUCAUCAUAUUACGUUAUUUCCCAAGUUUUGGACUCAAUCCGAUAUCGAUUGGUCCCUGAAAUUGGACAAUUCAGGUUCGUACGAAGUUCAUUUUGAAAUAGAGUGGUCAGUGUAUUGCAUAGUUCUAGAGAUUGGAUUUCAC